RNAcentral lists this ribosomal RNA (253 nucleotides) under uncultured bacterium. RNAcentral describes it as "partial 16S ribosomal RNA". It matches the Rfam family "Bacterial small subunit ribosomal RNA", at positions 524 to 776 of the family's 1533-position model. The record is from RNAcentral.
UACGUAGGGUGCAAGCGUUGUCCGGAAUUAUUGGGCGUAAAGAGCUCGUAGGCGGUCUGUCGCGUCGGCUGUGGAAACCCGCGGCUCAACCUCGGGCCUGCAGUCGAUACGGGCAGACUAGAGUGCGGUAGGGGAGACUGGAAUUCCUGGUGUAGCGGUGAAAUGCGCAGAUAUCAGGAGGAACACCGGUGGCGAAGGCGGGUCUCUGGGCCGUAACUGACGCUGAGGAGCGAAAGCGUGGGGAGCGAACAGG